Molecule: non-coding RNA, 73 nt
Organism: Cynoglossus semilaevis (tongue sole)
Lineage: Eukaryota; Metazoa; Chordata; Actinopteri; Pleuronectiformes; Cynoglossidae
Source: the annotation of a RefSeq genome assembly
GGUUCCAUAGUGGAGCGGUUAGCAAGCCUGCCUGAGAAGCAGAAAGUCCUGGGUUCGAUUCCCAGAGGAACCA